UCGUCUCCUACACCUACUGCGGCCAGACAUUGUGCAGGGCAGCCCGGGGAGCCCGAGAGUCUCUGGGUCUCGCCGAGCGGACGGCGGGGCGUCCCGGGCUGAGCCUAGGUCCAAGUGUCCCACAGCUCUGAGUCGGCGCCCAGUCCUUUCCAGUACCCACUCUCAUUCCGCCCCCGCGCUUUCGAAACGGCGUCGGACCCGCUCUAGAGCUUUCCCUGUCUCUUCUGUGGAAAGUGAGCUGCUGUUCCGAGCCUAAGAAGGCAUAUGAAAACUGCUCGCAGACCCAGGCUAGCUCAGUAGGGCCUGAGUCACGGCAGCUGCUGAUUGACAGACCUGCUUGGCCGCAUUCACCAUCUGGAGGUGGAUUAGGGAUGUCCCUUCGACCUAUAGAGGACACAUGGCACAGCAUUAAAUUCUGCUCUGCCCCAGCAGCACCCAUCCCAGAUGAAAUUGCAGAGGCAACAGGCCCUGGAGCCCCUGGCCCACAUCUGACUGCCUGAAGGAAUAAGGGGGAACUGUUGCUGCUGACAGUUUGGAGAGUGUCCUUCCAGACAUUUCCAACGCUGUAUUUCACAGGAUCUCUCAAAUGAGAGAAGGAUCCCUUGGCUUCGUGGUGUGAAACACACUGAAUCUGAUUGAUGACUGUGAUCUGAUAUCACAAUAAUAUUGGUAAUAAUUAUAAGUAUAAGGCAGGCUUAUUAGUUUCCUAGUCAUGCUCUUAUAAAAAUACCACUAUCUAGGUGGCUGGAAUGACAGAAAUGUAUUAUCUCACAUCUGAAGCCUAGAAAUCCAAAAUCAAGUGUUCCCUCUGAAACCUGUAGGGGAAUCCUUCCUUGUCUCUCCCUAGCAUCUGUGGUUUGCCGGAGAUCCUUGGCAUUCUUUGGUUUGCAGUCACACAACUACAGUCUCUGCCUUGUCAACAUAUGGCAUUCUUUUUCUAUGUCUCUAUCUUCACAUGGCUGUCUUCUUAUAAGGACACCAGUUGUGUUGGAUGAGGGGUCCACGCUACUCCAUUAUGAUGUCAUCUUAACUAAUUACAUCUACAACAACCCUAUUUUCAGAUAAGGUCAUAUUCUGAGGUGCAGAGGUCUAGGACUUCAACACAUUUUUUUUUGGAGGACAUAAUUCUGUCCUUAACAGUAGAUAAACUUUGUAAAUAUAAAAGUUAAGGCUACUGUCUGUAACAGAUAUUCAGUAAUACCUGGAAGUUUGGUUCUUUCUUCCCAUGUUCCAAAGAAUCUAGGGGGGCAAUUCUUGAUAGACAUAGAGAAACCUGAAUGAACCUACCUCAGCUAACUGGAAUCCUCAACUGUUUGACAAAGAUGUAUUUGCACUUGCCUUUUCAAAAGAGAAGUCAUUAACAAAAUAAUCAGAUAUCAUGAGUAUAACUUUUUAAAAAUAUUUUAUUUAUUUGAGAGAAAGCAGAGCACGAGAGAGACCAUAAGUGGGGGGAGAGACAGAGGGAAAAGAAGACUCCCCGCCAAGCAGACAGCCCAAUGUGGGGAUUGAUCUCAGAACCCCAGGAUCAUGACCUGAGCUAAAGGCAGAUGCUUAACUGACUGGGCCACUCUG
Molecule: long non-coding RNA, 1572 nt
Organism: Nyctereutes procyonoides (raccoon dog)
Lineage: Eukaryota; Metazoa; Chordata; Mammalia; Carnivora; Canidae
Exons: 3
Source: RefSeq, a predicted model, not a curated record